UAAGUAGAUUGCCUUAUCGCUCUUGUGCUGAAUUUGUUUCAACACAUGGGAGGAAAGUCCGAACACCAUAGUGCAACAUAGUGGUUAAUUACCACCAGUCGUGAGGCUAGGAAAAGUGCAACAGAAAGUAUGUACAGGUUAUGCUGUAGUGAAAUCAGGUAAACUCUAUGUGGUGCAAUGUCAUGUAAACCAGUGUUUGAGGGCUGCACGCUCGAUGCUGGAGGGUAGGCAGCUAAAGUAUAUUGGUAACAAUAUACUCAGAUAAAUGAUAAGGUAUUCUUGUGUUUGUUUUAGGAGAUUCUGAAACAAGGUCAGGAUGAACAGAAUUCGGCUUAUAGAUUUACUUGAAUA
RNAcentral lists this RNase P RNA (351 nucleotides) under Flavivirga rizhaonensis. RNAcentral describes it as "Bacterial RNase P class A". It matches the Rfam family "Bacterial RNase P class A". Rfam says of the family: Ribonuclease P (RNase P) is a ubiquitous endoribonuclease, found in archaea, bacteria and eukarya as well as chloroplasts and mitochondria. Its best characterised activity is the generation of mature 5'-ends of tRNAs by cleaving the 5'-leader elements of precursor-tRNAs. Lineage: Bacteria; Pseudomonadati; Bacteroidota; Flavobacteriia; Flavobacteriales; Flavobacteriaceae. The record is from Rfam by way of RNAcentral.